UACGUAGGGCGCAAGCGUUAUCCGGAAUUAUUGGGCGUAAAGAGCUCGUAGGCGGUUUGUCGCGUCUGCCGUGAAAGUCCGGGGCUCAACUCCGGAUCUGCGGUGGGUACGGGCAGACUAGAGUGAUGUAGGGGAGACUGGAAUUCCUGGUGUAGCGGUGAAAUGCGCAGAUAUCAGGAGGAACACCGAUGGGCGAAGGCAGGUCUCUGGGCAUUAACUGACGCUGAGGAGCGAAAGCAUGGGGAGCGAACAGG
RNAcentral lists this ribosomal RNA (254 nucleotides) under uncultured bacterium. RNAcentral's name for it is "partial 16S ribosomal RNA". It matches the Rfam family "Bacterial small subunit ribosomal RNA", at positions 524 to 776 of the family's 1533-position model. The record is from RNAcentral.